UAAAUUUAGAAAAGAGAGCUUUAUUUCUUAUAAAGGUUUGCAGUCCGCAAGGUGGCCAUUAUGACAGGCUGGGAAGUGUGGCCUACAGCCAAGGCCAGAGGCAGGCAUUUCCAGGGAGGGAAGGAGAGGACAGGAAUUUGAGCCAAAUGAGUUGGCUACAUAUACAUACUCAAUAGGAUAUCAGAGGAGCUACAUCAUUUUAUGAGAAUACUCAUAAAAGAGGUCCUAACGCAUGCAUAUUCAAUAAACAUGCAUGUUCAUUCUGGGGUGGAGACUUGACAUUUAAAUGUAUUAUAAUUAGGCCCUACACAUCAAAAAGUGAAGCAGGGACAUAAAGGUACUCAGCCUCUGUAAAGGCUCAGCCUCUGUAAAGGCACAGCCUCUAAAACUGGCCAGAACCAGUCCAUGGAGGAUGGUCUCUUAUCAGGAGAAAGUUACUGAAAUCAGUCCCUUGUCCAGAGAAAGCUGUCGUUAAGGUUAGUGGGGCAGGAGAUCAGUUACUCAGCGUCUGUGAACUGGGUGAGUUGUAAUUGUUUUAAUCUUGCUUCUCUCACAGCCAGUGCUUGCUUGGCUGCUAGAGAAAAAUAAAACCCAUGUGGUAGUUAGAAUCUAGUUAAUUCUUUAAGAGUAGGGUACAAGACUUAACCCUCGCCUGGCAUGGCCCUAGGCCCUGUUUAUAAUUUGAGGUCUUAUUGCCACAAAGAGUCUGUUCUGUCAGUCUCAUGAUCUCUAUUUUAACAUUAAUGCUGCUCAGUUGUUGGGUCUAAACCAUAAGAGGGAGGGAGGUACAGGGAGGUAUGUCUGACCUCCUGUCCUGUCAUGGCCGAGAACUGAAUUUUAAGAUUUAUUUGAGGUUCCGUUGGCCAACAGGGGGUCUGUUAAGUCGGGUGGGGGGCUUAGGAUUUUAUUUUUUGUUCUCAAGGGAGAUAAAAUAAUUUAAUCCAUUGGCCUCUGUGACUGUGGGACUAACAUGGCUAUGAUCUGUCGGACAGACUUCAGGCUGGCACCCAGGCAAAAUUCUAUGCUGUAGUAAAUGCAUCAUGCACAUUUGUAACAACACGUACAUAACAAUGUCACAAAAUACUUUCACGGUGACAACUAGAUUAGUGUUUUAUUGAAUAGCUGAUGACAUAAACUGUCUCAUUUGGUGCCAAGACUGACCAUCACCAGCAUACCAAGGUCAUCACUGAUCAGAGGUCUAACCCAAGGAGGGGGUCAUGUGCAGGCCCAGCGGUGGGGAGGAAAGAUGCUGCAGAGGAGAUGGAUGCCCACAGAGGCCCCUGAGCGGAUACCAUGCUCACUAAGUGGUAAGUAUAGACUCAACGUAGGCUGUAAGCUCUCCCCCUGUGUAAAUGGGACCCCGUACACUUGAGAGUCAAGGGUCUGUUUGGGUGGCAGGGAUAGCCACUUCUGAAGGUAGAAAGGAAAAUAAGCCACCAAAUUGGUACCUUUCUGUGAAAUGGACAUCGUGCUCAGAAUCUCCAUUUUCCCCACAACCUGGAGGAGUAAGUACUGUCAUCUGCAUUUUGUAGCUGAGGAAUCUGACUCAACAAAAUUAAAUUACUCGCCUAAGCAAUUAGCAAUCAACCAAGUCUUUCUGACUCAGAAACCCAGCUAUUGCCUGUUCAUAUCCAGCCCCUGUAUUGGGGUCAAGAUCUGGCCUGUUCUCAAUGCAGCAAGAUCCAGGCAGAUCACACUGGACUCCCAGCACUGAAUCUGGCUCGAGGGGACAUCAAAUUUGACUGGGUCAUGGGGCUCAGGAGCAUCACUCUCAAAAAUAGCAGUACAGGAAGAGGCAAUGGCCCUAAACAGCAUUUGCAGGCAGAUCCCAUGUUAAUCGUAAGGGUCAGGACUCUCUCACUUUUCUGUCUCUCUCUCUGUCUCUCCUCUAGGGCUGACCCCACAUCGGACACCACUGCAUCCAUGUCCAUCACAACACAGCUGCCUUUUCUUCUGCCUGCUUAUGGGAAAGUCCCCUCCUCUCCUCCGUUUCCUUCUCUUCCUGCCCUAUCACACUGUGCACUUCUCCCUUUCCUUAAAGAACCACCAUCAACUUUAGGAGGAGGGAAAGGGGUGGCUCUGGGAGGAAAAGCCAGAAUCCCCUCUAGCCAGCAGAGAGAGAGGAAUGGCUGCAUGUUUUCUCCCCCAAUCCAAGGCACUAGGUUUUGGCUAGGUUGCAGGUUCCAAGCUGCUCUCCUGCUGUGUCGGUGAGUUCUGGUUAACCUGCAACCUCCUGAUGUGGCCACUGCAGUUCAUCGAGUCUUCAGGGACUCCCCAUGGCCUGGAGUACUUUGCCUUGCUUACACGGGAGAGGAGAAUGGAUUUAUAGAGAACAUCAUCUAAAUCCAACUUGACCAUUGUGUGGCCACACUUGCUAGAUUGCUAUAGUCUAAAUCUAGCAUUGUAGAAAGACGGGGGAGCUUGGAGCUGCACAAACCCAGGUCUGGAACGGGCUCCUUACCUUGGAAGGUGAAUGAUCCUGGUAGGACUCUUAGCCUCCCUGGGCCUCAGUUUCUUUAUCUGUUUCAUGGGAAUGAGGAUCUCGGCUGGUUGGUUGGGUGAUGCGGGGGCUGUGUGAAAACAGCUUGUCAAUACAAGCUGAAAUAGAAAUAUUUCUCCACAGAGUAUGAAGAUCAAAUGAGAGAAUACAUUUAAAUUAAAUGGAAAAUUAAAAUGGCAAAAAAGGCAAAGCUGUAUUGAAAGUUCCGAGCUUCUCUAUAAGGAGCUUUUUGACUAUGUAAGAAUCCUGUACUCGUUCCCCCUAAAUAUAAAAAAAAAAUGUUGAAGGAGGCAGAAGGGAGAGUGAUGCACGAUGGGCGAGGACUUCACCUGCUGUUGCUGGCUUUGAGGAUGGAGGAAGGAGGCCACAAACCUAGAAGCUGGAGCCCCUAGAAGCUAGAAAAGGCAGGGACCCGAUUCAUCCCUUGAGCCUCCAGAAGGGACAUAGCCCUGCCAGCACCUUGACUUUAGCCCAGUGAGAUCCUCUUAGGACUUUUGGCAACCAGAACUAUAAGACAGAAAUGGAAGCCACUGAGUCUGUAGCUGUUUGUUGCAGCAGCAAUAGAAAACUAAUGCAGAGCCCAAGAAAUCACUGGUGAUGAGAUGGGGAAGUGGGCUCAGGAGGUCUGGAUCUGUGAUGAGAUGGGGAAAGUGGGCUCAGGAGGUCUGGAUCUGAGUUGGGGAUCUGGAGUGGAAGGGGAAUUCAUUUGUUCAUUGUCUAUCCUUUUGCAUUAAUUGAAUUUUUUUCUAUACAUACAUGUGAAUUUUCACAAUAAAAGUUUUUUCCAAAAUAAAAUAAAAGAAACAAAAGGGGCUUUUUGCAACCCAAUUCCUAUCUAUGUCUGAGUCCACUUGUAUUGAAUGAGUCUUUCUGCUAACGUCCUUAUAUUUGGGUGACUAUCUGAAUGUCAGUGACCAAUCAGAGCAGAGGCAGACCUUGGAGUGGGCAGGGCAUCCUGAGGGCCCUGAUUCCUGCCAUAAGGCAUAACCCUUUAGGUGCCAGACCAUGGGGAGGUCCAGGGGUUGCAGGGGAGGGCUGUGCAUCUGCAAUGGCUCUCAGGGGGCUCCCGGUGGUGGCAAUUGGUGAAUCUGCAUGGUGGUGUUUCAAUAUUGUCACAACCCUGCUGUCUCUCAUGCUCUCAAAAAGCAUUUCUCUUACCUGUGACAGACUUCCUAUACCUAACAGCUUGCAAAAAUGUUCCAGAUUAAUGAGAAUAAUCUCUCGGAGCCAUACCUCCCUGCUUGGGGUCUCAGUUUCCCCAAAUGUCUCCAGACAAGUUAGGCUAGAAGGCCCCUGAGUCUCAGCCCCUCUAUAGCCCUCCUGUCACCCAGACCUGAUCUGGGUCUUGCACCCUGGGUGCAGCAUGACAGGGGUGGGCAGGGGCUGGCUCUGGGCCAGAGGACCCUUUCUGAUGGACUUCAGCUGUUGGCCUUCCAGGGGAGACUGAUCAACCUCACAAGAGUCAUAUGGUGAGUAGCGGUGGGCAAAUCCAUCCCCCUCAUCUUAGAUUUAUGGGGAGACAGAGACAAAGAGGAGACACUCCAGGAAGACCUGCAGGUGGGAGUACCAGGUUGAAACCAAGGACACCUUCCUGGAGGAGCUGCCGUUUGAGCCAGCUCUGAGAACAGGUGGAGACAGGACUGGAGAGGAGGAGGUUGUGCCCUAUGAGCAAAGACUGGCCACCACCCCAUCUAACACCCCCACAGGGCCCCUGUGGCAUCCCUGUCCAGUCCCUGUCACCACCCAGUUUUUCCCUCUGGACCCAGGAAUUCAAAGUAAGCAAGGAGGUCCGCUGCUCCAGUUGGCUGCAAAUAAUUACAACCUUGAGCCCAAGCAGCACUUUGGGUCCUGGUUUGGGACCAUGAAGCGGCUCGGUGAGACUGAGAGGUAAGGCCAGGGCAGGAAUUGGGAUAGUAGGAUUGAACUCUCCCUGGGGGCCAGCCUCAGAAAGCCUGUGGCCAUGGCCUCUUGGCCAACAUCAGAUCCUGUGGUCUGGCAAUGCCUGGGGUACCCAGACCUCACUCUGGACAGGCCCUGGGAGGGGGCCCUGGUGAGAUUCCUGGCAGCCUCACAGCCACUCUUCUGUCCAUAGCUACAACCUGUCAUGCCAGCUGGAGGCUCCAUCCCAGUUGGCUGGGAGCAUAAAGUCCAGGAAGAUAGACAUCACCCACCACAGGGGCCAGUCAGGGCCUGAACCAGGGCGGGCAGAGGUUGGCUGCCUUGGGAUAUGGGUGGGCUCAGGGAGUCAGACAGCAAGGGACUAGCCUCCCAUCCUACUGCUGAGCAGCCCUGUGACUGGGGAGAGUCACCUUACUUCUCUGGGCCUCAGUUUCCCCCUCUGUGGAGUGACACUAAAUGAUCUCUCUGGAGACGGGGAUCAAUAGGGUACUGGUGAUUGACCAGGCACUCAGCACAUGCCUGGAGCACACAGUGCAGGGCUGUGGUGGGGAGGUGGGCUGAGUUCCUAGGGAGUCACCCAUGUGUGCCUGCCGUUCUGACCAGCCACCAGGCCCUCAGGGCAGAGCCCACUACCAGCAGCAGCUCACACCCCAAGACCAGCUCAGAGGCGGCCCCUACCUCAGCAGCAGGGACAUCACAGACACUUUGAGCUGGCACUAGGGUGGCUUCUCCAGCUCCCACGGGGAGAGGGGUCCCAGCUGAGUCCCACUCACGUGGAGUCUCAUGCCCAUGAAAGUGCCAUUCACCACUGGCCAGGCUCAUGAGGCCGCAUGAGAGGGGGGUCACUGGGGAGGAGAUAUCGGGGGAACAGAGAGGGUGGUUGAAUUUUUGUAUAAUAGGCAGUGCAAGUGUUUACCGUUUGGCAGGGGAAAGGUUUGUUAUUAUUAGCAAUGCUACACUUCAAUAUUACACUAAAAUCCAGUUUCUCUAUAACCUGGGAGUUGCUCUUUUGUUCUUUCUUUUCCCAUCUUAAUUAAAAUGAGAUGCAGACUCUCACGGUCCACAGUCGAUUAAGAAAUCUUGCACGGCCAUCAGGUUAUGUCUUGGAGAGCAGAGUUUCAGUACCAUCAGCCUGGCAAGGAGCUGGGCCUGCUCCUCAGAGCUCCCGGGACUGCGAGAAUUGGCAUGUUCACAAGGCACCGUCACAGCCUCUGAAACACGCUGUCUUUAAAGAUGUUUGCAGGCUGGACGCGGUGGCUCACUCCUGUAAUCCCAGCACUUUGGGAGGCAGAAGCGGGUGGCUCACUUGAGGUCAGGAGUUCGAGACCAACAUGGCAAAACCCCAUCUCUACUAAAAAUACAAAAAAUUAGCCAGGUGUGGUGGCAGGUGCCUGUAAUUCCAGCUACUCAGGAGGCUGAGGUAGGAGAACUGCUUGAACCCAGGAGGUGGAGGUUGCAAUGAGCAGAGAUCACACCACUGCACUCCAGUCUGGGCAACAAGAGCAAAACUUCAUCUCAAAAAAAAAAAAAAAAAAAAAAAACACAAAACACAAAGACAUUUGCAAGGACCAUGUCCUCACCCAGAAUGGUGCCUGCCUUUCUACAGUUUUUCAGGAAAAGGAAACAUUUUCUGCUUCUCUCGCUGAGGUUUUUUUUAACCACCCAUUAGGAACCUAUAGAUUUCAGGAUCGAACACUGGGAUUCCCUCAGCACUAAAGGAGGACAAUUGCAAACAGAGCUGAAAGUGCAAUGUGGAAAGGUCAGGCUGAGGAAGGUUCUUAGCCAGUAGACCAAGGGCAGGAAGGACACUGCCUCCUCAGUCUCCCACUAGGGAACUUGUGAUUCUUGUCCCCUGACCUCAGAAUUCCUUGUCAUGUUUGUUUUGUCUCCAAGGGAAGGGUUUGAAUUACAGAAUUUAAGGCUAGAGUGGGCCUCGUGCAGUUAACAUUAACCCUCUCUCUCCUUCGCUGGCCAAGGUGAAGUCCGGAAACAUGUAGUUCUGACGUCCACUCUCUCGGGGGAUCACCAGUUCACCCAUCUCACCCGGCAAGCUGGGACCUAGUUUGGCGACAGGCAUCUUCCACCCACCUGGGAGGCAGGGUUCAACACUCUGCCUCUGACCUUGUUUCCUUCUUCUGCCACCUGCUUAGGCAGCCAGAAGGGGUUGUCCAGCCAGCACCUGGGCUUUGGCGCUCCUCAAGCAGGUGGAGGAAGUUUCAGGCACCUGGCUCCUCAGGUGUCUGCCAUCCAGGUGCUCUUCAGGCCUGCCCAGCAGAGCUCUCUUGAUCCAGCUAGAACUGGCCAGAACUGACUCACUCAGGAAUGUGUAGACUUUGGCAUCAGGGGCUGCUUUAAUUUGCACAAUUUCCAAAUACCUCUUUUUUCUUCUUUUUCUGAUGAGUCAUCUUCCUAGACUUUCAUUUUAAAGAGAUAGAUAGUUAUCAGGUUCCAGAGAAGACAUGGUAGAACAUUUAUAUCUCAAAGACACAGAGCUGAGACUUCAGUUUUAGAUACUAUAAUUUGCCUAAACCAAAAAGGAAGGUGUAGGUAAAGUUCUAGUCAAGACAGGAUGGCCAGGAAAAACACCUUAAACCAAGGGAUGGCUUGCUUUGCUGAUUUAAGCCAAUGGCUUCUUUAUCAUAAGACUUCCCAGUGAUUUAGUCCUCCCUCUCUUCCAGUGCACAGAGACAUACCCCUCCUUACAAAUAAAAAUGUUCUUUAUAGAUGUAAAUUUAUUUUACAAAAAUGUUUCAAAAUAACCAGAUGAAAAUCAUCCUUAUGCCAGAAAGACUUGUUUUUUUUUUCAUUACUAGAAAUGAAACAGUAAGUAUUUGUUGUAUUGACAUACUUAGGCUUAGACCUGUGUUUAACAAGAAAGCCUAAUAAUAGCACUGUGGUUAGACUGUAGCCUAUUUUUCCAAACCAUCAUUUUAUUAUUAAGGAAACGAAGGACCAAAUACCUUUCAUUCAUCUGAUAUGAUCCUUUAAAACACAUUCCACUAACAAGUCCCAUUUGGAACAGCUGAAAAUCUUUUAAUAAAACUUUUUAAAGAUGAGCUCAUGGCUUAGUGUAAAUUUCACAAGCUUAAUUAGGUCAAAUGGAAGGAACUCAGAUGAGUAGUUGCCCAAUCAGAGCCCAUUAUUUGUAAGUCAUCAGACCCCUCCAUGACCUUAAAACUCCACUCUGACCUGAUUAUUGCAAACCUAUAUACAAAAAAGUGAAAGGAUUAAUUUUCAUUCAUCAACCUCUCAAUCCCAGAUUUUCAAAGAAAAAACCUAUGUAAGGAAUACUUACCAAAACCAGACAGGAAAAUUAGAGCCUGCAUACUUUAGAGUCAAAUUUGUUCCACUACAGCCAGGUCGCAUACAAUUACAUCAUUUGGUUCUUCAUACACUCUAGAACUGACUAGGACAGAGUUUAGCAUAGAAGAACUGUAAGAAAUAGGUUCUGAAACAUAGAAAUUGCAAAGUUCAAAAGGCUAUGAAAAAAACUAAUGUAAAUGAGAGACUCCCCUCACUUUGUUUUAAAGAAAUAGACCCAUCAGAGAAAUGCAAAUCAAAACCACAAUGAGAUACCAUCUCACACCAGUUAGAAUGGUGAUCAUUAAAAAGUCAGGAAACAACAGGUGCUAGAGAGGAUGUGGAGAAAUAGGAACACUUUUACACUGUUGGUGGGACUGUAAACUAGUUCAACCAUUGUGGAAGACAGUGUGGCCAUUCCUCAGGGAUCUAGAACUAGAAAUACCAUUUGACCCAGCCAUCCCACUACUGGGUAUAUACCCAAAGGAUUAUAAAUCGUGCUGCUAUAAAGACACAUGCACACGUAUGUUUAUUGCGGCACUAUUCACAAUAGCAAAGACUUGGAACCAACCCAAAUGUCCAACAAUGAUAGACUGGAUGAAGAAAAUGUGGCACAUAUACACCAUAGAAUACUAUGCAUCCAUAAAAAAUGAUGAGUUCAUGUCCUUUGUAGGGACACGGAUGAAGUUGGAAACCAUCAUUCUCAGCAAACUAUGGCAAGGACAAAAAAACAAACACCGCAUGUUCUCACUCAUAGGUGGGAAUUGAACAAUGAGAACACUUGGACACAGGAAAGGGAAAAUCACACACCAGGGCCUGUUGUGGGGUGGGGGGAGGGGGGAGGGAUAGCAUUAGGAGAUAUGCCUAAUAUAAAUGAUGAGUUAAUGGGUGCAGCACACCAACAUGGCACAUGUAUACAUAUGCAACAAACCUGCACAUUGUGCAUGUGUACCCUAGAAUUUAAAGUAUAAUAAAAAAAAUAAAAAAAUAAAAAAAUAAAUAGAUGUUCUGUAAAAAUAUACACAAUUUUUACAGACAAAUACAUUUAUAAGUUGUUUUUAUCUUAAAAAUUGGGGAUAUUUCAUAUUUAUAACUAAUUAUUGAACCUUAAGUUUUCUUGGCCAUUUAUAGGCUAAUAAACUAAGAAUCAUGUAAACUAAGCCAAAGUAGAAUAGACAUAAAAGUCCUAACACUUCAACUUCCUAUCCUUCAAGAAGUAUACCUCGCAAAGCUCAUUUGAGAGAGGAAAAGCUUUCCUCCACCCUCUGUUUUACAGCGCUGAGGUUUCUCAUCACAUUUCUAUGACUUAUAGCUUAAAUCCAUGUUACAUGGUCACUGGCAUUGUUAGUGCUUCUCUUUUAAUACUGUAGGAAUUAAUCAAUUUGGUGGCGUAUUUAAUUAAUUCUAUCACUAGAGGAUUGUAAAAUUACAUAUAUGAAUACCUCACUUUAGAGACCACUUAAUUUUUUUUCCAAGGGGAUAUUUGACUAUAUUUCACUUGUGUCUUAUUUAAUGAUUUUAUAAUUUAAACCCUAAAUUAUAAAUCUAGAAUUUAGAGAGUAUAUUUCCCCACUGGAUUACAUUUUUGGAAUUAUUAUAUGUGCACAAAUAUUACAAAAUCACUGUAGACACCUGAAAACUAUAUUAUCUUUUAAAAGCAAUAUUUACAUUAAACUGGUAUAACAAAAUUGUUUGGUGCAUUUUUUCCAGUACAUUUUGUAUAUAUUACAUGUUUAACCUUUUUUUAUUCAGCAAAUAAUUUUUGAGUAUCUACUAAGUGCUAGGUUCUGCAUUACUAAUUGAAUUUAAAGAGUGAAAUAACAGACAUGGUCUCAGACAAUAAAAAUUAACAUUAGGUCACCUAUUUACAUAUUUUAAAAUGGUAAUUAUGAAAACUUUGAGAUUUUAAACUAGAUAACAUUAUAAUAAUACACUUGAUGUUGUUAAUAUUUGCCAGUGAGCAAAAAAGAAAAUAAAAAGAUGGUUUUAUUCAAUAUACACUUUAAAAUUGCAGAAAAUAGUCAAGUUUCUCUGCUUUGCAGUUUAAUGUCUAUGUGUUUUUCUCUGCAACUUGGCUUUUGUGGAGUGAAACAAUUAUUCUUCCAGCCCAAUAAAGGCAGAAGAGUAACAAUAAAUCUAAUAUUUUAAAUGCUUAUCAAAAGAUAGUAAACAUAUUAUUUCAGAAUACUGAGUUCAAUAAGUUGACCUACAAAAAAAGCCAAACUGACAGUAUUACUGAAUAAGGAAAGGCCCAAAGAGACAAAAUACUUUUUAUUUUGUAACCUCGGUAUGAUACAACUUACCCUAACUAUAAAGACCCUAAAUUACCAAGAUGGGUGCUUAUAAUAUGGAGAGUAAAAAAAGUCAUUUCACUUUUAGCUUUUUUAUUUCUCUCAGAAUAAAAAGUGUAUAAGGAGUUUAUAAAGAAGUUGAUACUAUAAGUUAGUACUACAAAGACAGCACUUUUCAAGAAAAGACUUUUUUCUCUCUUACAAAUAUCAUGUUAGCAGUAUUUGUUUUCUCCAGAAAUAAUGAGGAAAUAAAAACAUAAGUAUGUGGGUAAUUAGUGUAGUUUCUUAAAGAAAUGAGUUAGGCAACAGGCUAAUAAUGUAUACUUCGCUGGCUUUUGAAUGCCAACAAUCAUAUUCUUUAUAAGGCACAGAGAAGAUUUUUCUGAAGAAUAAGUAUGUGAACCUGAAAAGUAAUCGCCACUUGGUAGUGACAAUAUGGAUAGGGUGAAGGGCGUCAUCAAGAAGCAAUGAAAAGAUACAUUUGCAGUUAAAUUUGAAAACCAUGAUGUUUAAUACAUAUAGUAAUAAAGAAUACUUUCUCCUAUUUCAAAAUUAUUUUAGAAUUAAGAUAGAAGCUAAAAUACCUAGGGAUAAUGAUAUGACUAUCAAAAAUUAAAAAUUAAAGGACAUUUUGAGUAUUAUAAGUUAAGAAUGAGAACUUAUUACCCAAAGAACAGGGGAUAAUUCAUUAUGCUCCAUAUCCAUUGAAUUAAAAGACAGGCCCAUUACCUGGAUAAUUUGAAAGUUUAAUUUUAUUUAAAAGUCUUGUUUCAUUCAUCAAGCUAAAGGAUUAGCUCCCAGAAAUAUUCUAGGAUUGCAUAUCCCCAACUCUGUAGGAAGUAUAGAAAGAAUGUUAUAAGGGCCACCAUCUAAACAUUAUUAUGUAAAUAAUUUAGUACCAUUCCAUUUGCCUUUGUAGAUUUAAAAAUGUAAAUGGCUUUCUCAUAUUAGGAAACAUCACUUUUCAAAACCCAGAUAAACAUAGUAUAUUGCAAGAGAAUAAUUAUUUUCUUUAUUAAAAAAUACUGGAUGCUAAGUCCAAAAGACAUAAAUUAUUUUAUACUAAUAACUACUAACAUUUUAUUCAUUAAAAUAUAAAGGUCAAAGAUUUUAAAAUGAUCUUUAAAUGAUUAAUAACAUGUUGAUCUUUUUCUUCUUUCUGUAAACCUUUUUGAGUCUUAACAAUACUAAACUAUACAAGCAAUAUUAAAUAGUAUAUAAACGGAUUAAAAUAUUCAAAUUUACUAGAAUGUGGACAUUGGAAAGAAUGAAAAUAAACAGAAGCAUAAAGCAGCAGAUAUAAAAUUAAGAAAGCAACUAAGAGUGUUUAAAGUACAUAUUCAUCUGUAGUCUAAUGUCUACCAUAAACAAUGACUCUUCUCAGUAAAACACAAAUUGUUCAUGAAGGGAAAAAGCAUGUUGUAUUAGAGAAUAUUCAACAUAAUUUUUUUAGUACUAACUUGUGCCUGGAGUAUUAUUGGUUUUUCCAUUAUGAACUUAUGCACUUGAUAAUUUUUUUCAUAAAAAUUGUAUGUACAACUCCAUUCAAAAGCAGUUUUUGGUGGGUUUUUUUUUUUUUUUUGAGAUGAGUUUUGCUCUUUUCACCCAGGCUGGAGUGCAAUGGUGCGAAUUUGGCUCACAGCAACCUAGCAACCUUUGCCUCCUAGGCUCAGGUGAUUCUCUUGCCUCAGCCUCUCGAGUGGUUAGAACUA
This 11702-nucleotide long non-coding RNA is filed under the name Homo sapiens (human). RNAcentral describes it as "HSALNT0405080". Lineage: Eukaryota; Metazoa; Chordata; Mammalia; Primates; Hominidae. The record is from RNAcentral.